Molecule: ribosomal RNA, 836 nt
Filed under: Neomicrosphaeropsis tamaricicola
Lineage: Eukaryota; Fungi; Ascomycota; Dothideomycetes; Pleosporales; Didymellaceae
Description: partial 28S ribosomal RNA
Rfam family: Eukaryotic large subunit ribosomal RNA
Source: RNAcentral
ACAGGGAUUGCCCUAGUAACGGCGAGUGAAGCGGCAACAGCUCAAAUUUGAAAUCUGGCGUCUUUGGCGUCCGAGUUGUAAUUUGCAGAGGGCGCUUUGGCAUUGGCAGCGGUCCAAGUUCCUUGGAACAGGACGUCACAGAGGGUGAGAAUCCCGUACGUGGUCGCUAGCCUUUACCGUGUAAAGCCCCUUCGACGAGUCGAGUUGUUUGGGAAUGCAGCUCUAAAUGGGAGGUAAAUUUCUUCUAAAGCUAAAUACUGGCCAGAGACCGAUAGCGCACAAGUAGAGUGAUCGAAAGAUGAAAAGCACUUUGGAAAGAGAGUUAAAAAGCACGUGAAAUUGUUGAAAGGGAAGCGCUUGCAGCCAGACUUGCCUGUAGUUGCUCAUCCGGGUUUUUACCCGGUGCACUCUUCUAUAGGCAGGCCAGCAUCAGUUUGGGCGGUUGGAUAAAGGUCUCUGUCAUGUAACUCUCUUCGGGGAGAACUUAUAGGGGAGACGACAUGCAACCAGCCUGGACUGAGGUCCGCGCAUCUGCUAGGAUGCUGGCGUAAUGGCUGUAAGCGGCCCGUCUUGAAACACGGACCAAGGAGUCUAACAUCUAUGCGAGUGUUUGGGUGUCAAGCCCGAGCGCGUAAUGAAAGUGAACGGAGGUGGGAACCUUUCGGGGUGCACCAUCGACCGAUCCUGAUGUCUUCGGAUGGAUUUGAGUAAGAGCAUAGCUGUUGGGACCCGAAAGAUGGUGAACUAUGCUUGAAUAGGGUGAAGCCAGAGGAAACUCUGGUGGAGGCUCGCAGCGGUUCUGACGUGCAAAUCGAUCGUCAAAUUUGGGCAUAGGG